CUCUGCAGAGUCAGCUGCAGCUGGCGCUGCAGCCAAACUCAUGCACCCAGGGAGGGAGGACAUGCUUUGGCCCUGUGCAGGAUGAACAAGAAGCGAAAACAACUCUAACCGAGGCUCACACCAUUUCUGUCUCAUAAUCAAAAGCCUGCAAACUCUGUUCUCUCCCCUCCUCCUCCACAAGGCGAUCUGGAGAUUUCCCGGGGAGCCUCAUCUUCUCACACAGACCCAAGCUCUGGGUAACAACUAAGAGCGGGGAGACCCUGGAGAACUCCAACACGCACCAGGGAGCUAGCUAAAACAAGGUUUCAGGAAACCGAAGAGUGCUUAUCGACCAAGGAAGAUACUUCUGGGAGCUACUUGUUCCUUAAUUGGCUCUGUCACUACACCGAGUCUAACCGAGGCACCGGCGGCUGGAGACAGGUGAGCCGCAAUGAACUAAUUCCACCCGGGUUGUUUAGUCCUCCUUUUCCUCGCGGCUCUUUGCUUUCCCGUGGCAAGGUGGCUUUUAAAACCUCCUAGGGCCAUGCAAGAGGGCAGCUGCACAAGGGAUGGGCUUCCCGGCUGCACCAGGCCCUGGGAGUCUGCGACCAGCAAAGAAGAAAAGGGACGAAGAGAGGAAAAGUCGGACAUCCCUACGUGAUCAGAGCAAAAGCUUGAAGCCAUGGCGACCACCCAGCAGCCACACUCGGAAUAACGCGCACAGGCGCUUGGCCGCCCGGGCCACGCAGAACCGCAGCAGCCUCCAGCCUGCCGCCCUCCUGCUUUCCCGCGCCUCAUCGACGCACCGCCUCACCCACGCACCGCCUCGCGCCCACCCGCAGCCGCCGCCUCAGGCCCGCCCGCCCCCGGCUCGCUCCUCUCCCGCCAAGUUCCCACACACAGCCCCAGCCUCGCACCAGCCAAGCCUCCCAGGUCCACCUCGGCCUCAGCGCACCUCAGUCCGUCCUCCCCACAACUCUGGCGCCCGACCGCAAGGGCCGCGUCUCACAACCCCGACCCCAGGUUUUACUCCAGGGCUCCGCCUUGCCAAACCCAGGCAAACUGAAGGAGAGACGGCGGGGGAGGGGAAACAGCGUGAGGAGGCAGGAGGGGGCGGGGAGCAAACCGACGGUCCGGAAGCAAUAGGGAGCGUCCUUCCGGCCUCUCCGACGGUAGCCCGAAGGGACCAAAUUUAUUGCAUAGCGCUGCGGUACAGGGGUUAUGGGAAUUUAAGGAGAGUAUGCAUGUGUGAAGUAGGGCAUUUCCAGAUAAGGGGCUAGUUGGACAAAGCAGGUAUUUUCCGGAGUCAUUUAUGGAAGCUCUUCCCCUACAGGUGGCCAAUAUAGUUGAUUAUUGUUUUAAUUUGAAGAUUUUUUUUAGUAAUAAAAUUAAUUUUUUAGCAAAAUUAAUGAGUGUUCAUAUAGGAAAUAAGAAAAAUACAAAUAAACAACAACAAAAAAC
This 1440-nucleotide long non-coding RNA is filed under the name Mus musculus (house mouse). RNAcentral's name for it is "long non-coding RNA chr3:95356130-95357570". The record is from RNAcentral. Lineage: Eukaryota; Metazoa; Chordata; Mammalia; Rodentia; Muridae.